RNAcentral lists this non-coding RNA (28 nucleotides) under Bombyx mori (domestic silkworm). Lineage: Eukaryota; Metazoa; Arthropoda; Insecta; Lepidoptera; Bombycidae. The record is from RNAcentral.
UCAGUUACAUGCAGACGCUUGAGAAGUG